UUUUAUUUCACAAGUUAAAGCAGCAAAAUUAGUCCAGAAAUGAACUUGGUUUUCAUCGCAGUUUUGUUCUUGCCUGAUUUCUCCAUUUCUGCUGUGAACUUCCAGCAGCUUCCAUCUGUGUUCGUCAGAGACGGCGAUGAGAGCGUGACCCUCUGGUGCGACCAGGACAAUAAUCAGAAUUACUACAUGUUCUGGUACAGACACCCGGCGGGCAGUGGGAAAAUGGAGCUGGUCGCAUAUUCUGUAGGUAAAGACGCCGCGGCCGUGGAAGAUCCUUUCAGCAAGACCAAAUACACCAUGACCCGUCCAGAAGUGCUCAGAACCUCCCUGCAGAUCCACUCUCCUGAGGCUGCAGACUCUGCCGUGUACUACUGCGCUUCCAGUCUAGCACAGUGCUUCAGGCUGCCUCAGCCGCCUAACAACAACCUCAGGAGGAGGCAACGACCAGACCAGGGAGGGAAAACACUGAAAAACCUCAAUGCAACAGAGUGACAUGAGGUACUAUUUGAAGAAUACUGGCCUGAAAACAAAGCAAACUUUUAGAAACUCAUAGGAUGAUGUAUGGGUAUUGCACUCUUUUGUGGUGAGACGGUUACCAUCCUCACUUUUUGUAAAGU
Molecule: non-coding RNA, 617 nt
Organism: Gambusia affinis (western mosquitofish)
Lineage: Eukaryota; Metazoa; Chordata; Actinopteri; Cyprinodontiformes; Poeciliidae
Source: the annotation of a RefSeq genome assembly